This 1406-nucleotide ribosomal RNA is filed under the name uncultured bacterium. RNAcentral's name for it is "bacterial SSU rRNA". It matches the Rfam family "Bacterial small subunit ribosomal RNA". The record is from RNAcentral.
AGAGUUUGAUCCUGGCUCAGGAUGAACGCUAGCGGCAGGCUUAACACAUGCAAGUCGAGGGGCAGCGGGGAGGAAGCUUGCUUUCUCCGCCGGCGACCGGCGCACGGGUGAGUAACACGUAUGCAACCUGCCCCUGUCAGGGGGACAACCCGCCGAAAGGCGGGCUAAACCCGCGUACAUGCCACCGGGGCAUCCCGGAGGCAGGAAAGGCUUCGGCCGGACAGGGAUGGGCAUGCGGCGCAUUAGGCAGUAGGCGGGGUAACGGCCCACCUAACCGACGAUGCGUAGGGGUUCUGAGAGGAAGGUCCCCCACACUGGUACUGAGACACGGACCAGACUCCUACGGGAGGCAGCAGUGAGGAAUAUUGGUCAAUGGUCGGGAGACUGAACCAGCCAAGCCGCGUGAGGGAGGAAGGUACAGAGCAUCGUAAACCUCUUUUGUCAGGGAACAAAGGCGGGGACGUGUCCCCGGAUGAGUGUACCUGAAGAAAAAGCAUCGGCUAACUCCGUGCCAGCAGCCGCGGUAAUACGGAGGAUGCGAGCGUUAUCCGGAUUUAUUGGGUUUAAAGGGUGCGCAGGCGGUCUGUUAAGUCAGCGGUCAAAGCCCGGGGCUCAACCCCGGCCCGCCGUUGAAACUGGCAGUCUCGAGUUGGAGAGAAGUAUGCGGAAUGCGCGGUGUAGCGGUGAAAUGCAUAGAUAUCGCGCAGAACUCCGAUUGCGAAGGCAGCAUGCCGGCUCCACACUGACGCUGAGGCACGAAAGCGUGGGUAUCGAACAGGAUUAGAUACCCUGGUAGUCCACGCAGUAAACGAUGAAUGCUGGCUGUCCGGGGGGAACUGACCCCUGGGUGGGGAAGCGGAAAGCGAUAAGCAUUCCACCUGGGGAGUACGCCGGCAACGGUGAAACUCAAAGGAAUGAACGGGGGCCCGCACAAGCGGAGGAACAUGUGGUUUAAUUCGAUGAUACGCGAGGAACCUUACCCGGGCUCAAACGGGGAGUGGCGCAGGCAGAGACGCCUGUUUCCCACGGGACACUCCCCGAGGUGCUGCAUGGUUGUCGUCAGCUCGUGCCGUGAGGUGUCGGCUUAAGUGCCAUAACGAGCGCAACCCCCGCGUGCAGUUGCUAACAGUCAACGCUGAGGACUCUGCACGGACUGCCGGCGCAAGCCGCGAGGAAGGCGGGGAUGACGUCAAAUCAGCACGGCCCUUACGUCCGGGGCGACACACGUGUUACAAUGGGUGGUACAGCGGGAAGCCAGGCGGCGACGCCGAGCGGAACCCGAAAUCCACUCUCAGUUCGGAUCGGAGUCUGCAACCCGACUCCGUGAAGCUGGAUUCGCUAGUAAUCGCGCAUCAGCCAUGGCGCGGUGAAUACGUUCCCGGGCCUUGCACACACCGCCCGUCAAG